Small nucleolar RNA from Humulus lupulus (European hop), 107 nucleotides. The record is from RefSeq and is a predicted model, not a curated record. Lineage: Eukaryota; Viridiplantae; Streptophyta; Magnoliopsida; Rosales; Cannabaceae.
AUACCAUGAUGAGGGAAUGUGCGCAACAACUCCUUAAACCAGUCCUAUGCCUCAUUUAAAGAUGGUUCAUCAAGUUGCUGAAAUGAAGUAAUCUUAUUGCAGAGCUU